AUGGCCCGAAUCGCACGGAAAGCUGCCUCUGCCAGGGUGAAUGUCCAAGUGCCUACAUCAUCUGCCCCACAAGCUUCAUCUGCUCAUACCUCUGGUCGGGUAAGCUAUGGUGGUCGUGAACAUCAAUUGCAGGAAAUAGUAGGACAAUGCAACAAACAUAAUGGUAAUGAAGGUGGUGAUGACUUCGAAUCAUACAGAGUGACAACUGAUGGUUCGCAUAGGCUCGAGACUCAUGAUCCUUACGACUAUGUCUACCACAAUCUACCCAACAAGCAUCAUGUUUUGAAGCCAGUAAAAGACUGUAUCCAUUGUGGAGCAGUGAGGUUCCAGUAUGAAGGUCCAGACUUCUGUUGCAGAAAAGGUAAGCUCAAGGUAUUUAUCCCAGAGGUUCCUCGAGAUCUACAAUGA
This 408-nucleotide ribosomal RNA is filed under the name Triticum aestivum (bread wheat). RNAcentral describes it as "partial small subunit ribosomal RNA". Lineage: Eukaryota; Viridiplantae; Streptophyta; Magnoliopsida; Poales; Poaceae. The record is from RNAcentral.